RNAcentral lists this ribosomal RNA (633 nucleotides) under Setophoma chromolaenae. Its description in RNAcentral is "LSU rRNA". It matches the Rfam family "Eukaryotic large subunit ribosomal RNA", at positions 39 to 687 of the family's 3401-position model. Lineage: Eukaryota; Fungi; Ascomycota; Dothideomycetes; Pleosporales; Phaeosphaeriaceae. The record is from RNAcentral.
CAUAUCAAUAAGCGGAGGAAAGGAAACCAACAGGGAUUGCCCUAGUAACGGCGAGUGAAGCGGCAACAGCUCAAAUUUGAAAUCUGGCUCUUUCAGGGUCCGAGUUGUAAUUUGCAGAGGGCGCUUUGGUGUUGGCAGCGGUCCAAGUUCUUUGGAACAGGACGUCACAGAGGGUGAGAAUCCCGUACGUGGUCGCUAGCCCUCACCGUGUAAAGCCCCUUCGACGAGUCGAGUUGUUUGGGAAUGCAGCUCUAAAUGGGAGGUAAAUUUCUUCUAAAGCUAAAUACUGGCCAGAGACCGAUAGCGCACAAGUAGAGUGAUCGAAAGAUGAAAAGCACUUUGGAAAGAGAGUCAAAUAGCACGUGAAAUUGUUGAAAGGGAAGCGCUUGCAGCCAGACUUGCCUGUAGUUGCUUAUCUAGACUUUUGUCUAGUGCACUCUUCUAUAGGCAGGCCAGCAUCAGUUUGGGCGGUUGGAUAAAGGUCUCUGUCAUGUACCUCCUUUCGGGGAGGCCUUAUAGGGGAGACGACAUGCAACCAGUCUGGACUGAGGUCCGCGCAUCUGCUAGGAUGCUGGCGUAAUGGCUGUAAGCGGCCCGUCUUGAAACACGGACCAAGGAGUCUAACAUCUAUGC